Molecule: long non-coding RNA, 376 nt
Filed under: Rhinopithecus bieti (black snub-nosed monkey)
Lineage: Eukaryota; Metazoa; Chordata; Mammalia; Primates; Cercopithecidae
Description: lncRNA (ENSRBIG00000045539.1)
Source: RNAcentral
UGGGUGGGUAGGAGGAUGUGGCCUUGUGGGUGGUAGCGGGUAUGUUGGUGGACACUCCAUGCUUCUGUGGAACCAGCUAUAGAGGAGUGGUGAUGCAAUGAGCAUCCUGGAAGUUUAGUUGUCAUUUGUCACCUUUUGGAUAAUGGAGUAGAUUUCUGAAGCUAUUUCUCCUUGUUUGGUGUUCUGCCUGCGAUUUGGGCAAGUGGACUUCAGAUUAUGUCUUCAUAGACUGAAAGACUUGGGAGAGAAAAUCACUGAGUGCCAACUAUGUCAGCCACACAUCAAUAUUAGAUUUCUACAAGUGAAAAUCCUGGAUCAUAGGGGAUGUAUGAAAUGCUCUGAAGGCUGCCAACAAAAUGUUAAGUCAGUCCACUGA